RNAcentral lists this transfer RNA (69 nucleotides) under Capsala pricei. Its description in RNAcentral is "tRNA-Glu". The record is from RNAcentral. Lineage: Eukaryota; Metazoa; Platyhelminthes; Monogenea; Capsalidea; Capsalidae.
GUUAGCUUGGUGUAAAUAAUUUAGCAUUUUAGCUUUUCGUGCUUUUCGUGGGGGUUUCCCCAGCUAACU